Molecule: transfer RNA, 73 nt
Filed under: Bos taurus (domestic cattle)
Lineage: Eukaryota; Metazoa; Chordata; Mammalia; Artiodactyla; Bovidae
Also listed under: 3 other names
Rfam family: tRNA
About the family: Transfer RNA (tRNA) molecules are approximately 80 nucleotides in length. Their secondary structure includes four short double-helical elements and three loops (D, anti-codon, and T loops). Further hydrogen bonds mediate the characteristic L-shaped molecular structure. tRNAs have two regions of fundamental functional importance: the anti-codon, which is responsible for specific mRNA codon recognition, and the 3' end, to which the tRNAs corresponding amino acid is attached (by aminoacyl-tRNA synthetases). tRNAs cope with the degeneracy of the genetic code in two manners: having more than one tRNA (with a specific anti-codon) for a particular amino acid; and 'wobble' base-pairing, i.e. permitting non-standard base-pairing at the 3rd anti-codon position.
Source: Rfam by way of RNAcentral
UCCCUGGUGGUCAGGUGGUUAGGACUCUGCACUGUUACUGCAGAGGGUCUGGGUUCAAUCCCUGGUCAGGAAA